GAUGAUAACAUUCAUUAUAAGUAUUCUUGAAUCUUGAUAAUAUACAAGCAAGAAAAUGUCUGGAUACCUCGUGGUUGUCAGGAGCAAGAAACACAAAUACAUUGAUGCUAAAAACCAAACAUCUAUGAGAUCACUCCAACUGAGCAUACCAAACACCCUGGAUUUUCACAUCCUUAGGAACCUUGGCUCCAAGAUCAGUAUCCGAAGGCUGAAUACUCUCAAACACUCCGAUCACCUCUCCAGUAUCCGGCUUGCUUGAAGUGACACUCAAAGUAAUCUUUCCCGUUGAUGCUGCAACAUUCUUUACGUUCUCUUUAGAAAGCUCCUCUUCAUCUCCCCUCCCUCCUGCCGGCAAAGCAACCGCAUUAUCAUAUCCGGUGGAACCACCUCUACCCUUUGGGUCAAGAAAUGACGAUCCUCUGUAAGAUGGCACUAGAAAUUCUCCACUAAAGCUCUCUGGUUUCCCAGAUGCUACGAGCUGUUUGAUUGUGAAUAGGAAUGGCACACGUUCACCUCCGGGAAGCUGAACAGUCACAGCAGCGUAGUCGAUUCCGUCUUUCUCCUCGAACUUAAUGGAUCCAUCAGGAGACACUUCGAGGGGACCCUCGAUCUCGUCAAGGGUGUAGGUCAAACGGGUCAUGAGUUUGGUUUUUUGGAACUCGGGUGUAGAGUUCUUGCUUACACCUUCGGCUUUGACUGUGAAUGAUGUGGGUUCAAGGCAGAAUUUCUUGGCGUUGUAUUUGCCGGACUUGAAAGCAAACCCAGUAACUCCGCCGUCGAUGGUUGGGCAUUGGUUAGCUGUUCCGGUUCCUUUUACUUCCAUGUAUGUCUUGCUUUGGAUCUCAUCGAAAGUUAACCUUUUUGGACUUCCCUCAGCACUUGCUCCCUGAUACAAUAUCAAUAUACAUGUAUACACACUUACGCAAAUAAACAAAACAGUUAUAAUAUAUACUUGGAUCAAUAUGUCACUAACAGUCAAAGAACCGGAGGAGACAUACCGAAACAACAAGGGCAGAAGUGGCAAGAGCGAAUCCGGCGAUCUUGGCAGCAUCGGUGCAUUUCUGAGCGAAGUCCUUGAGAUCAGCCUGAAGAGAGCAAGACACCCUGGCUCCGGAGGACUCGACACCGAAGGCCUUGCAGAUGCUCGGAGAAGACUUUAGCUGCAGACGGCCGGAGACACCCACCUUGGUUGGUUGCAUGAAAGUUGCCGCUGCUUGCAGUGAAGCUGCCAUUGCUG
This 1237-nucleotide long non-coding RNA is filed under the name Lactuca sativa (garden lettuce). Its description in RNAcentral is "long non-coding RNA (LSAT_LNC004704)". Lineage: Eukaryota; Viridiplantae; Streptophyta; Magnoliopsida; Asterales; Asteraceae. The record is from RNAcentral.